RNAcentral lists this ribosomal RNA (275 nucleotides) under uncultured Desulfobulbus sp. RNAcentral's name for it is "partial 16S ribosomal RNA". It matches the Rfam family "Bacterial small subunit ribosomal RNA", at positions 1107 to 1382 of the family's 1533-position model. The record is from RNAcentral. Lineage: Bacteria; Pseudomonadati; Thermodesulfobacteriota; Desulfobulbia; Desulfobulbales; Desulfobulbaceae.
GCCUUUAGUUGCCAGCAGUUCGGCUGGGCACUCUAAAGGGACUGCCGGUGUUAAACCGGAGGAAGUGGGGGAUGACGUCAAGUCCUCAUGGCCUUUAUGACCAGGGCUACACACGUACUACAAUGGCCGAUACAAAGGGCAGCGACACUGCGAGGUGAAGCCAAUCCCGUAAAAUCGGUCUCAGUCCGGAUUGGAGUCUGCAACUCGACUCCAUGAAGUUGGAAUCGCUAGUAAUCGUGGAUCAGCAUGCCACGGUGAAUACGUUCCCGGGCCUU